UACGGAGGGUGCGAGCGUUAUCCGGAAUUAUUGGGCGUAAAGAGCUCGUAGGCGGUCUGUCGCGUCUGCUGUGAAAACUCGGGGCUUAACCCCGGGCCUGCAGUGGGUACGGGCAGACUAGAGUGCGGUAGGGGAGACUGGAAUUCCUGGUGUAGCGGUGAAAUGCGCAGAUAUCAGGAGGAACACCGGUGGCGAAGGCGGGUCUCUGGGCCGUAACUGACGCUGAGGAGCGAAAGCAUGGGGAGCGAACAGG
RNAcentral lists this ribosomal RNA (253 nucleotides) under uncultured bacterium. RNAcentral describes it as "partial 16S ribosomal RNA". It matches the Rfam family "Bacterial small subunit ribosomal RNA", at positions 524 to 776 of the family's 1533-position model. The record is from RNAcentral.